CUGACGAGUCCCAAAUAGGACGAAACGCGCAUC
Non-coding RNA from Schistosoma rodhaini, 33 nucleotides. Lineage: Eukaryota; Metazoa; Platyhelminthes; Trematoda; Strigeidida; Schistosomatidae. The record is from Rfam.